RNAcentral lists this ribosomal RNA (253 nucleotides) under uncultured bacterium. RNAcentral describes it as "partial 16S ribosomal RNA". It matches the Rfam family "Bacterial small subunit ribosomal RNA", at positions 524 to 776 of the family's 1533-position model. The record is from RNAcentral.
UACGUAGGCAGCAAGCGUUGUUCGGAGUUACUGGGCGUAAAGGGUGCGUAGGCGGCCCUGUAAGUAUGGUGUGAAAUCUCCCGGCUUAACUGGGAGGGUGCGCUAUAGACUGCGGGGCUCGAGUGUGGGAGAGGAAAGUGGAAUUCCUGGUGUAGCGGUGAAAUGCGUAGAUAUCAGGAGGAACACCGGUGGUGUAAACGGCUUUCUGGACCAUAACUGACGCUGAGGCACGAAAGCGUGGGGAGCGAACAGG